RNAcentral lists this ribosomal RNA (390 nucleotides) under Pseudomonas aeruginosa. RNAcentral's name for it is "bacterial SSU rRNA". It matches the Rfam family "Bacterial small subunit ribosomal RNA", at positions 1 to 393 of the family's 1533-position model. Lineage: Bacteria; Pseudomonadati; Pseudomonadota; Gammaproteobacteria; Pseudomonadales; Pseudomonadaceae. The record is from RNAcentral.
GCAGGGGAGAGUUUGAUCCUGGCUCAGAUUGAACGCUGGCGGCAGGCCUAACACAUGCAAGUCGAGCGGAUGAAGGGAGCUUNNNCCUGGAUUCAGCGGCGGACGGGUGAGUAAUGCCUAGGAAUCUGCCUGGUAGUGGGGGAUAACGUCCGGAAACGGGCGCUAAUACCGCAUACGUCCUGAGGGAGAAAGUGGGGGAUCUUCGGACCUCACGCUAUCAGAUGAGCCUAGGUCGGAUUAGCUAGUUGGUGGGGUAAAGGCCUACCAAGGCGACGAUCCGUAACUGGUCUGAGAGGAUGAUCAGUCACACUGGAACUGAGACACGGUCCAGACUCCUACGGGAGGCAGCAGUGGGGAAUAUUGGACAAUGGGCGAAAGCCUGAUCCAGCC